RNAcentral lists this unclassified non-coding RNA (200 nucleotides) under uncultured Glomeromycotina. RNAcentral describes it as "sequence contains ITS2". The record is from RNAcentral. Lineage: Eukaryota; Fungi; Glomeromycota.
UUAAGUUCAGCGGGUAUUCUUACCUGAUUUGAGGUCAAAGUUGAAAAUCGUAUACGAGUGAGCCUUGAUGUCCAAGUCAAACGUACUACACGAGAUGGCAUAUUAUCGCGCGUUUUCUUAAUCAAAAUUGAUCAUAAAUACGCUUUAAUCGUACCAAAAAAGAUGAAUUUUAAGCCACUUGACAUGAAUAACAUACAAGG